AAGGGAUAAAACUCAGCGAUCUUUAAGCCUUUCACUUCCCUACAAUUUGUCAGCACAGUUGGGGGCUGGCUUCCUUUCCACAGAUCUGCAAGGAAGGUGAUGGGCUGCAUGGGGAUUUGCAAACUGAGGAAAACAGAGAGGAGUCCAGUGGGGGAAGGGAAGAUAGAAAAGAUCUUGAAGUCAGAAAAACUCAAGGUCCACAUUUAUCUUGGUGGCAGCAGCUACAAAUGUGAAAUCAAAGCUCUG
Long non-coding RNA from Lontra canadensis (Northern American river otter), 246 nucleotides. RefSeq lists it as uncharacterized. The transcript is spliced from 3 exons. Lineage: Eukaryota; Metazoa; Chordata; Mammalia; Carnivora; Mustelidae. The record is from RefSeq and is a predicted model, not a curated record.